UGCAAGUCGAGCGGCAGCACGGGUACUUGUACCUGGUGGCGAGCGGCGGACGGGUGAGUAAUGCCUAGGAAUCUGCCUGGUAGUGGGGGAUAACGCUCGGAAACGGACGCUAAUACCGCAUACGUCCUACGGGAGAAAGCAGGGGACCUUCGGGCCUUGCGCUAUCAGAUGAGCCUAGGUCGGAUUAGCUAGUUGGUGAGGUAAUGGCUCACCAAGGCGACGAUCCGUAACUGGUCUGAGAGGAUGAUCAGUCACACUGGAACUGAGACACGGUCCAGACUCCUACGGGAGGCAGCAGUGGGGAAUAUUGGACAAUGGGCGAAAGCCUGAUCCAGCCAUGCCGCGUGUGUGAAGAAGGUCUUCGGAUUGUAAAGCACUUUAAGUUGGGAGGAAGGGCAGUUACCUAAUACGUAUCUGUUUUGACGUUACCGACAGAAUAAGCACCGGCUAACUCUGUGCCAGCAGCCGCGGUAAUACAGAGGGUGCAAGCGUUAAUCGGAAUUACUGGGCGUAAAGCGCGCGUAGGUGGUUUGUUAAGUUGAAUGUGAAAUCCCCGGGCUCAACCUGGGAACUGCA
RNAcentral lists this ribosomal RNA (576 nucleotides) under Pseudomonas sp. LL18. Its description in RNAcentral is "bacterial SSU rRNA". It matches the Rfam family "Bacterial small subunit ribosomal RNA", at positions 56 to 625 of the family's 1533-position model. The record is from RNAcentral. Lineage: Bacteria; Pseudomonadati; Pseudomonadota; Gammaproteobacteria; Pseudomonadales; Pseudomonadaceae.